This 29-nucleotide non-coding RNA is filed under the name Mus musculus (house mouse). Lineage: Eukaryota; Metazoa; Chordata; Mammalia; Rodentia; Muridae. The record is from RNAcentral.
UGGUCUGCCGUAGUCCAUGCUAAGUCCUC